AGUGAACGCUGGCGGUAGGCCUAACACAUGCAAGUCGAACGGCAGCACAGUAAGAGCUUGCUCUUACGGGUGGCGAGUGGCGGACGGGUGAGGAAUACAUCGGAAUCUACUUUUUCGUGGGGAUAACGUAGGGAAACUUACGCUAAUACCGCAUACGACCUACGGGUGAAAGCAGGGGAUCUUCUGACCUUGCGCGGUUGAAUGAGCCGAUGUCGGAUUAGCUAGUUGGCGGGGUAAAGGCCCACCACGGCGACGAGCCGUAGCUGGUCUGAGAGGAUGAGCGGCCACACUGGAACUGAGCCACGGUCCAGACUCCUACGGGAGGCAGCAGUGGGGAAUAUUGGACAAUGGGCGCAAGCCUGACCCAGCCAUACCGCGUGGGUGAAGAAGGCCUUCGGGUUGUAAAGCCCUUUUGUUGGGAAAGAAAAGCAGCAGGUUAAUACCCCGCUGUUCUGACGGUACCCAAAGAAUAAGCACCGGCUAACUUCGUG
RNAcentral lists this ribosomal RNA (491 nucleotides) under uncultured bacterium. RNAcentral's name for it is "partial 16S ribosomal RNA". It matches the Rfam family "Bacterial small subunit ribosomal RNA", at positions 29 to 507 of the family's 1533-position model. The record is from RNAcentral.